AUGCGGCAGUGCCGGGCCGCGGGGCUGGCGGGGCUGGCCGCGGUGCUGCUGGUGGCUGUGAGCAGAGCCCAGGUGCAGCAGGAGCCGGCGGCAGAGACCAGCGAGGGCACCGGCAUCAACAUCACCUGCUCACACCCCAACAUACAGCCCGACGGGUACAUCCAUUGGUACCGUCAGCUCCCGGGCCGAGCCCCUCAUUCCUCGUCAGCGCUUUUAAAGGCUCCAAGGAGGUGCCGGACCCGGAGGGGCAGCUGUGGGUGUCGGCAGACCGCCGCUCCAGCGUCCUGCGGCUCGCCCGGCCCCGGCUCGGGGACGCGGCGCUGUAUUACUGCGCCGUGGGCGCACGGAAGCGAAGCCGGGGCUGCGGCCGGGCACGAACCGCUUGGGGCGGGGCGGGGGCACAGUGCCGUCCGGGCCCGCAGGGGGCGCUGCCUGCAUGGCCGCCAAACUCCAUCCUGACCAGGGUGCGCCGCCCUGAGUUCUCCACAGAAACGAGCACUGCACCCAUAGCAGCCAUUCGCUGA
This is a non-coding RNA of Lagopus muta (rock ptarmigan), 524 nucleotides long. NCBI's taxonomy places the organism in Eukaryota, Metazoa, Chordata, Aves, Galliformes, Phasianidae. The record is from the annotation of a RefSeq genome assembly.